This is a non-coding RNA of Schistosoma haematobium, 45 nucleotides long. Lineage: Eukaryota; Metazoa; Platyhelminthes; Trematoda; Strigeidida; Schistosomatidae. The record is from Rfam.
AUCCAGCCGACAAGUCCCGAAUAGGACGAAACACGCGUCCUGGAU